RNAcentral lists this unclassified non-coding RNA (21 nucleotides) under Mus musculus (house mouse). RNAcentral describes it as "oocyte_clustered_small_RNA9541". Lineage: Eukaryota; Metazoa; Chordata; Mammalia; Rodentia; Muridae. The record is from RNAcentral.
UGACCCACAACGGGGGGUUGA